This 212-nucleotide long non-coding RNA is filed under the name Prunus persica (peach). RNAcentral's name for it is "long non-coding RNA (PPER_LNC003414)". The record is from RNAcentral. Lineage: Eukaryota; Viridiplantae; Streptophyta; Magnoliopsida; Rosales; Rosaceae.
GUUGGUGUAUUGUAUAGUUCUGGGGAUUGGAUUUCACUCAAAACCCACCGAAUGACCCCUCCCAAAAUGUUAUGAUGUUCCUCAAGUUUUGGACACAAUCCGACAUCGAUUGGUCAACGAAAUCGGACAAUUUCGGUUCGUACGAAGUUCGUACUGAAAUGGAGUGGCUGGUGUACUGUAUAAUUCUAGGGAUUGGAUUUCACUCAAAACCC